This 3339-nucleotide long non-coding RNA is filed under the name Mytilus galloprovincialis (Mediterranean mussel). The record is from RNAcentral. Lineage: Eukaryota; Metazoa; Mollusca; Bivalvia; Mytilida; Mytilidae.
UGUAGUAUGUGACAAUGGAUCCUACGGGAUAAACUGUUCUGUGUCCUGUAGCAAUUGCAUAAAUGAGUCGUGUGAUCAUCGGACAGGAAAAUGUCAUAUAGAAGGCGGUUGUAAAAUUGGAUACCAGGGUUCAAAGUGUAGUGAAGGUAUUUAAAUGAUCAGUGAGGUGAUAGUUGUGUUUUUACAAGGGUAUUUUGUAUAUUGUUAAAUAGAUGUUUUUUUCUUAUUAUAAAGAUGCAAACCAUGCUGAUUUUAUGAUUGUUUAAGGUAGCCACAAUACAAAGAUUUUUCAUCCCCAAUCAGACAUCUUUAAACCAAUGUAACUCCCUCAUCUUUCUUUAAUUUUUAUAAAUGAGGUACCAAAAGAAAGAGAAGGAUUAAUCUUUUAAAUUAUGAUAAUUUCAUUAUGACAUAAUUAUUACAUAAUUAAUUGUUGUGUAAUUAGGUUGCCAUAUUGUGAUUUCCAUACUUGAAUGAAUUUAGCUUCUUUGUUAUUCAUAGCAUCCCAAAAUAUUUUAUAGAUUCGUUGCACAACACAGUUUGACCUCAAUAUAGCAACUAAUUAAAUAAUAAUUAAUAUAUAAAUAAUUAUGUCAUAAUGAAAUUAUCACAAUUUGAAAGAUUAUCUUUCUUCUUUCUUUGGUACCUCAUUUAUAAAAUAUAAAGAUGGAUGAAAUGAAUUACAUCAUUUAAAGUUAUCUAUUGGAGUGAGAAAAUCUUUGUAUUGUGCUACCUUAAUCAAGUAGAUAACUGUGUUAAACAUUGGGACACAGGAUCAAUAUUCAAAUUACGAUAUUACAGGUAUGUAAGCCGAAAGUUAUAUCUUUACUUACCUUGAUCGUGUAAAGCAAGGUAUCAUGGUAUGAAAUGUAAUCAAUGUAUGUAUACCGAAAUCUUUCAUUUCCUACAUUAUAUCACAAUUAUCUCUAACAAGAAGAAAAAGUAUUUAUUUAAGUAAUUACAGAAGAUAAUUGUUGAUGUUGCUUAAAUUCCCGUGGCAAAAUAUUGCAUGCAUCUUUAGGAUGUUGAGAUAACAUUCAAUAAGUAAGUCCAGUAACUGAUGUCGUCAAGUUGAAAGUCGGAAAUAUAAAUCCCGAACUUAAUUUUAAAUUCAAAAGGAGAGGUUCAUAAAAAACGACAGUAUCGAAUGCUUUCGCUUAUUGAAGAAGUGAAAACAUCGGCCAUUUGAUUGACUUGGUGCUUUCCAAAGGAAAUGUGGUCUAUAUCAAUUAUUGUGGUAUGAGUGCAAUGAGACAACUUCCAUCCAAGCCACAACGUAUAAAAAAGUAAUUGGAAUACAAAUGAAAUAUUUAUAACUUUAAUUUACAAGUGAGAGUUUAGCUACUAUUAAAACCAGGUUCAAUCCACCAUUUUCUACAUUAGAAAAUGCCUGUACCAAGUCAGAAUAUGACAGUUGUUAUCCAUUCGUUGAUGUGUUUGGACUUUUGAUUUUGCCUGUGAUUUUAGAUUUUCCUUUGUUCGGAGUUCAGUAUUUUUUUUUUUUUUUUACUUUUUACAUUUCAAAGAUAAAUUUGAGUUCUGUCGUAUAAUAUUAAAAAAUCCAAUGGUGCAGUAUAUCUGCAGCUCAACAGAAAUAAGCAAAUCACCGAUCUCGUACAUUUAGACAUUUCAAUAUUUUUACGGUUUUUUAAUCAUAUAUUUUGUUAUUACAUAAAGUCAUUUAUUUUUCAUAGUAUCAAAGACAUAUUUACUAUCCUUAAGUAACUUUGAUUAGUAAAAGAACAACAACAAAACAUGAAAUAUGAAAAAAAUACCAAACUUCAAUCGAAAUUCAUAUCAGAGGCCUUAAAAUUAUGUCAAAAUCAAAAAUCAAACAAAUCUGACGAACUGUCAUACUUAAAGGACUAGGGGUUUUAAUGCUUUGAUUCGAUCUGAUGAGUUGAGCCCUUUUCAACUGAUUUUUUAUAGUUUGUUCACAUGUCAUUCUGAUACACCGCUAUCACAGGAUAUUGAGACAUUUUGGUGAAAGGCAAAGGGUAUAAAAAAAAAUGCCGAAAUGUUUUCAUAAAUUACUACGUGUAAAAUUUAGUUUUUCGACAUGAAGGAGUUCUAAACACUUACAAGUACAACAGGAAAAGAGGAAAUAAGAUUUUGAUUCUCUUUAAUAUCUCCCGCCUAAAAUUAAGCAAGUUUAUAUUAAUCUAUGUAUCUGUGUAUAACGAUAGCAUUAUCUUAUUUGAUUGAUUCAUGGAUGGUCAGUUGUAACGUUCAGUGGCAACUAUUUCAUGCAUGUUUCUGUUUCUGUCGAAUAAUAGCCUCCUUCAACAAACUGCAGAUUCUGCUAUAUAGAUUCUGCAUGUUCAGGACGAGAACAAGUUCACAAUAAAUACAAUAGUAAAAGAGGCCAUCCGAGAUGAUGGUCGGGGAAUUUGGACUGCCACUGGAAAAUGAGGGUAUAUUCGAUAGGGACAGAAAUUUUGCCAUGUAACAGGCCAACCUAAAUGAGUUGUUGAAAGGGUUUCUGCUUGCAAAGAGCAUGGCACUCUUUUUACACGAAGUACCGGAUUUAACGUCCACAUUCUGACCGGACCUGGCUGCAAACUUGAUACAUCCCACACUUUAUUUGGGUACAACUGCCGGCAAACAUGUCACUGCGUGAAUGGAACACUGUGUAAUAAUGUUAAUGGUUUGUCUGAGUUAGAUUCAUGUGAUCGUGGUUGGAUGGAUACUUCAUGUGUUCAAUGUAAGCUUGCUAUUGUCAUGGUGUUGACAUCAAAUCGAAAAAGUUUUAACCUAAGGCUAAACUCCUGGUCCUUACAAGUUUAAACAUGUACAAAAAGUUUUCUAUAAUAAGUAAUGUAAUCAAACCAAUUUAAUUUUAAAGACUGUUAUAUAGAAAACAUAACUCAAUAAAGUGUUGAAAAAUAUUAGCACUGAACUAAAAAUAGUACGAGGACAAUUCAAACAAUGCAAGUUGAAAUGCCACUACAUUUUAAAGCAUAUUUAACCGUUUAGUUAUCAGUCGAGAAUCCAACCAAUGAAUUUCAGCAUUUCAGGCAAGCAUGUCACUAUACACCAUUGUAAUCAAUUUGCCUAAAUGCUACGUUUUAACAGAAAAAAAUGAGUAACACAUAGCAAAUUGUUUCUUUGUAAAAAUUAAUCUAAAUUGCCGCAGUUUUUUUUAAAGUAUGUUCGAGUAGUGAUUUAGUCUUUUUUUUUAAUUUUUAAUUAUCGUAGCAUGUUCUCCGGCACAUUUUGGGUAUAACUGCGCAGAAACAUGUACUGGAUGUUUGGAUGACGAUUGUGAAUCAUUUUCUGGUAAUUGUACCAAACAUGGAUGUCGUAAUGGUUAUACAGGAUAUAGGUGCCAUCUUCGAG